GCAAACUUGGUCAUUUAGAGGAAGUAAAAGUCGUAACAAGGUUUCCGUAGGUGAACCUGCGGAAGGAUCAUUACUGAGGUACGGGCUUCGGCUCGAACCCCCCACCCUUUGUUGAUUUGCCUUGUUGCUUCGGCGGGCCGUCGGUCCCCGCCCCCGGCUACGGCUGGGGUGUGCCCGCCGAAGGACCGCAUGAAACGCAGUGAAGAACAAAAAGUCCGAGUCCACAAUGAAUCAGUCAAAACUUUCAACAACGGAUCUCUUGGUUCUGGCAUCGAUGAAGAACGCAGC
RNAcentral lists this unclassified non-coding RNA (288 nucleotides) under uncultured fungus. Its description in RNAcentral is "partial contains small subunit ribosomal RNA, internal transcribed spacer 1, and 5.8S ribosomal RNA". The stretch from base 1 to 73 matches the Rfam family "Eukaryotic small subunit ribosomal RNA", at positions 1759 to 1831 of the family's 1831-position model. The record is from RNAcentral. Lineage: Eukaryota; Fungi.